GUGAAUCAUCAAAUUUUUGAACGCAAAUUGCACUUUCUUCGGAGAGUAUGCCUGUUUGAGGGUCAGUAUUAAUAAAAAUCGGUGUGUUGUUUUUUUGUGACGUUCUGGAGCUUGGGUCAUCUUAAUAUUCUUUAGGUUUUAAGAGGUUUAAAAUUGAUUUUUUUUGCGUAUUUUUGAUGUACAUAAAUUUUUUUUUUUAUUUGUUUGUCUUUAUGCCAAAAUCUUAUUAGAUGCGAUUAU
This 240-nucleotide unclassified non-coding RNA is filed under the name Glomeraceae sp. Its description in RNAcentral is "partial contains 5.8S ribosomal RNA and internal transcribed spacer 2". The stretch from base 1 to 65 matches the Rfam family "5.8S ribosomal RNA", at positions 84 to 154 of the family's 154-position model. Lineage: Eukaryota; Fungi; Glomeromycota; Glomeromycetes; Glomerales; Glomeraceae. The record is from RNAcentral.